This 62-nucleotide transfer RNA is filed under the name Chrysolagria sp. CHR01. RNAcentral describes it as "tRNA-His". The record is from RNAcentral. Lineage: Eukaryota; Metazoa; Arthropoda; Insecta; Coleoptera; Tenebrionidae.
ACUUAAGUAGUUUAAAUAAAACAUUAAUCUGUGGAGUUAAAAAUACAAUAAAGUCUUAAGUA